ACGGCAGGUCAGCAUGCCCCNAAUCCCCCGGGCUACACGCGGGCUACAAUGGCGGGGACAGCGGGUUCCGACCCCGAAAGGGGGAGGCAAUCCCUCAAACCCCGCCGCAGUUGGGAUCGAGGGCUGCAACUCGCCCUCGUGAACGCGGAAUCCCUAGUAACCGCGCGUCAACAUCGCGCGGUGAAUACGUCCCUGCUCCU
Molecule: ribosomal RNA, 200 nt
Filed under: uncultured crenarchaeote
Lineage: Archaea; Thermoproteati; Thermoproteota
Description: partial 16S ribosomal RNA
Rfam family: Archaeal small subunit ribosomal RNA
Source: RNAcentral